This 563-nucleotide long non-coding RNA is filed under the name Ananas comosus (pineapple). RNAcentral's name for it is "long non-coding RNA (ACOM_LNC009529)". Lineage: Eukaryota; Viridiplantae; Streptophyta; Magnoliopsida; Poales; Bromeliaceae. The record is from RNAcentral.
CAUACUUUUUUAUUUUAGUACUCUAUAAUUUAAAGUGUAUUAAUCUAGUACCCAGUGGUUUCGCACCUUCUCACUUUAAUAUCCUUUGGUUAAAUUAUAUAUAAAAAAUUUCAAAUAUUCUACAUAGAUUUAUGAAAUUUUUACUUUAGUACCCUUUAGCUUUAACUUUAUCACUUUUUUUUUCCCUCCGUUAAUAUUUUAUUAAAUUAUAUACAAAAAACUUCAGAUAUCCUAUCAAAAUUUAUCGAAUAUUCACUUUAAUAUCCUUUAAUUUUAACUUUGUUACUAAUUUAACGAAAAAAAUUAGUAAAAUAAAUAAUAAAAAAAAUAAAACCACAUGGUACUAACUUGGUACACUUUAAACCACAUGGUAGGUACUAAAGUGAGAAAGUGCAAAACCACAAAGGCUAACUUGAUACACUUUAAACCAUAAAGUACUAAAGCGAGAAAGUGUGAAACUACAGAAAAAGUAUUUGAAGUGUACCCUAUAUUUUUUAACCGAUUGCAAAUUUUACAUUUUAUUUAUUUAAAAUUUUAUAUAUUAUUAAUAUAUUUUUUAUUUA